This 406-nucleotide ribosomal RNA is filed under the name uncultured bacterium. Its description in RNAcentral is "partial 16S ribosomal RNA". It matches the Rfam family "Bacterial small subunit ribosomal RNA", at positions 30 to 526 of the family's 1533-position model. The record is from RNAcentral.
AUUGAACGCUGGCGGCAGGCCUAACACAUGCAAGUCGAACGAGUGGCGGACGGGUGAGUAAUGUCUGGGAAACUGCCCGAUGGAGGGGGAUAACUCCUGGAAACGGUAGCUAAUACCGCAUACCCUCGGAUGUGCCCCGAGGGGAUUAGCUCGUAGGGGGGGUAACGGCUCACCUAGUCGACGAUCCCUAGCUGGUCUGAGAGGAUGACCAGCCACACUGGAACUGAGACACGGUCCAGACUCCUACGGGAGGCAGCAGUGGGGAAUAUGGCACAAUGGGCGCAAGCCUGAUGCAGCCAUGCCGCGUGUAUGAAGAAGGCCUUCGGGUUGUAAAGUACUUGCAGCGAGGAGGCGUUACUCGCAGAAGAAGCACCGGCUAACUCCGUGCCAGCAGCCGCGGUAAUAC